Molecule: ribosomal RNA, 222 nt
Filed under: uncultured bacterium
Lineage: Bacteria
Description: partial 16S ribosomal RNA
Rfam family: Bacterial small subunit ribosomal RNA
Source: RNAcentral
CGGACGUGGAUAACCUGCCUCACACAGGGGGAUAACAGUUAGAAGUGACUGCUAAUACCGCAUAAGCGCACGGCAUCGCAUGAUGCAGUGUGAAAAACUCCGGUGGUGUGAGAUGGAUCCGCGUCUGAUUAGGUAGUUGGUGGGGUAACGGCCUACCAAGCCGACGAUCAGUAGCCGACCUGAGAGGGUGACCGGCCACAUUGGGACUGAGACACGGCCCAA